GGUCCAGACUCCUACGGGAGGCAGCAGUGGGGAAUAUUGCACAAUGGGGGGAACCCUGAUGCAGCGACGCCGCGUGGGUGAAGGAGCACCUCGGUGCGUAAAGCCCUGUCAGCAGGGAAGAAAAUGACGGUACCUGAAGAAGAAGCCCCGGCUAACUACGUGCCAGCAGCCGCGGUAAUACGUAGGGGGCAAGCGUUAUCCGGAUUUACUGGGUGUAAAGGGGGCGCAGACGGCGAUGCAAGCCAGGAGUGAAAGCCCGGGGCCCAACCCCGGGACUGCUCUGGAAACUGCGGCGCUGGAGUACGGGAGGGGCAGGCGGAAUUCCUGGUGUAGCGGUGAAAUGCGUAGAUAUCAGGAGGAACACCGGCGGCGAAGGCGGCCUGCUGGACCGUGACUGACGUUGAGGCUCGAGAGCGUGGGGAGCAAACAGGAUUAGAUACCCGUGUA
This 447-nucleotide ribosomal RNA is filed under the name uncultured bacterium. RNAcentral's name for it is "partial 16S ribosomal RNA". It matches the Rfam family "Bacterial small subunit ribosomal RNA", at positions 328 to 792 of the family's 1533-position model. The record is from RNAcentral.